AAUGAACGCUGGCGGCAUGCCUAACACAUGCAAGUCGAACGAAGGCUUCGGCCUUAGUGGCGCACGGGUGCGUAACGCGUGGGAAUCUACCCUUAGGUUCGGAAUAACAGUUGGAAACGACUGCUAAUACCGGAUGAUGACGUAAGUCCAAAGAUUUAUCGCCUAGGGAUGAGCCCGCGUAGGAUUAGCUAGUUGGUGUGGUAAAGGCGCACCAAGGCGACGAUCCUUAGCUGGUCUGAGAGGAUGAUCAGCCACACUGGGACUGAGACACGGCCCAGACUCCUACGGGAGGCAGCAGUGGGGAAUAUUGGACAAUGGGCGAAAGCCUGAUCCAGCAAUGCCGCGUGAGUGAUGAAGGCCUUAGGGUUGUAAAGCUCUUUUACCCAGGAUGAUAAUGACAGUACCGGGAGAAUAAGCUCCGGCUAACUCCGUG
RNAcentral lists this ribosomal RNA (433 nucleotides) under uncultured bacterium. RNAcentral's name for it is "partial 16S ribosomal RNA". It matches the Rfam family "Bacterial small subunit ribosomal RNA", at positions 29 to 507 of the family's 1533-position model. The record is from RNAcentral.